CAAAAAGCAUUCAGGAAUAGUAAAUUUUUUUGAGAUGAGGGCAGAGCAUAAAGUUAGCCUUGCCUCAGUGAGACUGUGCAAUGCCAUGUGGUUACUGGAGCAAGGGUAUUCUUCAUCAUCUGUGGCAAUGAGAACCUCACUCCCUGCAGGAAUAUAGAUGCAUCGAAGUGCAGAGAGAUCCAGUGAAGCACCAUCAGCCACCCCAGCUACAACAGAACUCAUUUCUUCUAUAUAACAGAACAGGAAGGCUCCCAGGUCUCUUCACAAAAGCAAAGGAGAAAGUUGACAGGUGGAGUUAUAGUGGCCAUUAUGACUUCUUCCAGCAUGGUUCCAUCUAUUGUGACUAUUGGAGGAGGCCAGAGGUGAAGAGGGAAAGCAGUCAGAUAGGACCAACAUUUGAUAAAGCAGUAGAAAUGGAGCAUCUGCAAGCAGAGUUUCAUCAUCUAGAAAUCUGUGUGCUGGACUCAGGACUUGAAUUGUUUUGUGCACACAAUUGUAAAUGAAUGUCCAGAGGGGAACUUUGAAAAACAACCUGCCUGGAAGAUAGAAGCCACACCUUUCCCAUUCAAGGCAGUGCCUACCUUUUGUGAGAUCGGUACAGGCCUUCUGAACAGAGCCUGCUCGAAGAAACU
RNAcentral lists this long non-coding RNA (632 nucleotides) under Heterocephalus glaber (naked mole-rat). Its description in RNAcentral is "lncRNA (ENSHGLG00100027641.2)". Lineage: Eukaryota; Metazoa; Chordata; Mammalia; Rodentia; Bathyergidae. The record is from RNAcentral.